Molecule: ribosomal RNA, 1675 nt
Filed under: Plasmodium coatneyi
Lineage: Eukaryota; Apicomplexa; Aconoidasida; Haemosporida; Plasmodiidae
Description: SSU rRNA
Rfam family: Eukaryotic small subunit ribosomal RNA
Source: RNAcentral
AAGUAUAUGCAUAUCGUUAUAUGCAGAAACUGCGAACGGCUCAUUAAAACAGUUAUAAUCUACUUGACAUUUUUUUUUUCAUAAGGAUAACUACGGAAAAGCUGUAGCUAAUACUUGCUUUAGCGCUCUCGAUUCACGUCUUGAGUGUGUACUUGUUAAGCCUAUUAAGAAAAAAGAUAUAAACUUAAGGAAUUAUAACAAAGAAGUGACACAUGAUGGAUUUACAUCCAGUUCUUAGUGUGUAUCAAUCGAGUUUCUGACCUAUCAGCUUUUGAUGUUAGGGUAUUGGCCUAACAUGGCUAUGACGGGUAACGGGGAAUUAGAGUUCGAUUCCGGAGAGGGAGCCUGAGAAAUAGCUACCACAUCUAAGGAAGGCAGCAGGCGCGUAAAUUACCCAAUUCUAAAGAAGAGAGGUAGUGACAAGAAAUAACAAUACAAGACCAAAACUGGUUUUGUAAUUGGAAUGGUGGGAAUUUAAAUCCUUCCCAUAAUACAAUUGGAGGGCAAGUCUGGUGCCAGCAGCCGCGGUAAUUCCAGCUCCAAUAGCGUAUAUUAAAAUUGUUGCAGUUAAAACGCUCGUAGUUGAAUUUCAAAGAACCGAUAUUUUAAGUAAUGCUUUUUUUAGGUGGAGCCACAAAAGGUUAAAACCCAAUCUAUGGUUUCGGCUUUAUGUGUGCAUCUCUACUUAUUCAAGUGUUUUUUUUAAUUAAAGUGUUUCUUUUUUAAAAUCUUCUUUAGCUAAUAACAAUAUGGAAGAUUUUGUUACUUUGAGUAAAUUAAAGUGUUCAAAGCAAACAGAUAAAGCAUUUUUGUGCGUUUGAAUACUACAGCAUGGAAUAACAAAAUUGAACAGGUCAAAACUAUGUUUCUUUUUUUUUAUUUUUGGCUUAGUUACGAUUAAUAGGAGUAGUUUGGGGACAUUUGUAUUCAGAUGUCAGAGGUGAAAUUCUAAGAUUUUCUGGAGACAAACAACUGCGAAGGCAUUUGUCUAAAAUACUUCCAUUAAUCAAGAACGAAAGUUAAGGGAGUGAAGACGAUCAGAUACCGUCGUAAUCUUAACCAUAAACUAUACCGACUAGGUUUUGGAUGAAAGUAAAACAAAUAAGGAUAGUCUCUUCGGGGAUAGUUCUUAGAUUUCUUCCUUCAGUGCCUUAUGAGAAAUCAAAGUCUUUGGGUUCUGGGGCGAGUAUUCGCGCAAGCGAGAAAGUUAAAAGAAUUGACGGAAGGGCACCACCAGGCGUGGAGCUUGCGGCUUAAUUUGACUCAACACGGGAAAACUCACUAGUUUGAGACAAGAGUAGGAUUGACAGAUUAAUAGCUCUUUCUUGAUUUCUUGGAUGGUGAUGCAUGGCCGUUUUUAGUUCGUGAAUAUGAUUUGUCUGGUUAAUUCCGAUAACGAACGAGAUCUUAACCUGCUAAUUAGCGGUAAGUACAACAUAUUUUUAUGCGGAAUUUGCAUCUGGUACAUUUGCUAGGUUGGAACGGUGCAUAUAAUGAGACGAGAGGGAUUGCAUCGCCACUUUUGUUGCCUAUGUGACAUUGCUGCCGUUUGUUUAUCCCCAUCCUCUGUUCCCUGCCCCUGAAUGUCUGGCUUAUGAUGCCAUUUCGUUCUUGUGUAGAAAUGUAUUUGCUUUACGUAAAGCUUCUUAGAGGAACGAUGUGUGUCUAACACAAG